GAUCAGUGGCGAACGGGUGAGUAACACGUGAGCAACCUGCCCUGGACUCUGGGAUAAGCGCUGGAAACGGCGUCUAAUACUGGAUAUGAGACGUGAUCGCAUGGUCGUGUUUGGAAAGAUUUUUCGGUCUGGGAUGGGCUCGCGGCCUAUCAGCUUGUUGGUGAGGUAAUGGCUCACCAAGGCGUCGACGGGUAGCCGGCCUGAGAGGGUGACCGGCCACACUGGGACUGAGACACGGCCCAGACUCCUACGGGAGGCAGCAGUGGGGAAUAUUGCACAAUGGGCGGAAGCCUGAUGCAGCAACGCCGCGUGAGGGAUGACGGCCUUCGGGUUGUAAACCUCUUUUAGCAGGGAAGAAGCGAAAGUGACGGUACCUGCAGAAAAAGCGCCGGCUAACUACGUGCCAGCAGCCGCGGUAAUACGUAGGGCGCAAGCGUUAUCCGGAAUUAUUGGGCGUAAAGAGCUCGUAGGCGGUUUGUCGCGUCUGCUGUGAAAUCCCGAGGCUCAACCUCGGGCCUGCAGUGGGUACGGGCAGACUAGAGUGCGGUAGGGGAGAUUGGAAUUCCUGGUGUAGCGGUGGAAUGCGCAGAUAUCAGGAGGAACACCGAUGGCGAAGGCAGAUCUCUGGGCCGUAACUGACGCUGAGGAGCGAAAGGGUGGGGAGCAAACAGGCUUAGAUA
This 680-nucleotide ribosomal RNA is filed under the name Microbacterium sp. TD12. RNAcentral describes it as "bacterial SSU rRNA". It matches the Rfam family "Bacterial small subunit ribosomal RNA", at positions 90 to 784 of the family's 1533-position model. The record is from RNAcentral. Lineage: Bacteria; Bacillati; Actinomycetota; Actinomycetes; Micrococcales; Microbacteriaceae.